GUAGAGAAUUGGGAGAUAUAGUCAAGAUGACGCGACUCUCGUGGAGAGUACUUAUCCGAAGAUGACUUCAUCGAAAACGUCAGUGGUUUAUGGUCGGUGAAUAUUGCAAAUUCCCGGCCUUUGAUGGAAUGUUGAAAAUGAC
RNAcentral lists this microRNA precursor (142 nucleotides) under Schistosoma japonicum. RNAcentral describes it as "microRNA sja-mir-310 precursor". Its record names the gene sja-mir-310. The record is from miRBase by way of RNAcentral. Lineage: Eukaryota; Metazoa; Platyhelminthes; Trematoda; Strigeidida; Schistosomatidae.